Molecule: unclassified non-coding RNA, 19 nt
Filed under: synthetic construct
Description: RNA (5'-R(P*AP*AP*GP*CP*CP*UP*GP*GP*UP*GP*UP*CP*UP*UP*GP*GP*GP*UP*G)-3') from synthetic construct (PDB 7XN7, chain P)
Source: RNAcentral
UGCCUGGUGUCUUGGGUGU